AGCAGCCGCGGUAAUUCCAGCUCCAAUAGCGUAUAUUAAAGUUGUUGCAGUUAAAAAGCUCGUAGUUGAAUUUCGGGAUCAAUAUGUCGGUCGUGCCUCGGUACGUACUGGCAUCAUUGGUUUCUCCCUUCUGACGAACCAUGAUGUCAUUAAUUUGAUGUCGUGGAGAAUCAGGACUGUUACUUUGAAAAAUUAGAGUGUUUAAAGCAGGCUAACGCUUGAAUACAUUAGCAUGGAAUAAUGAAAUAGGACGUUCGAUCCUAUUUUGUUGGUUUCUAGGAUCGACGUAAUGAUUAAUAGGGAUAGUUGGGGGCAUUAGUAUUCAAUUGUCAGAGGUGAAAUUCUUGGAUUUAUUGAAGACUAACUACUGCGAAAGCAUUUGCCAAGGAUGUUUUCAUUAAUCAAGAACGAAAGUUAGGGGAUCGAAGACGAUCAGAUACCGUCGUAGUC
RNAcentral lists this ribosomal RNA (450 nucleotides) under uncultured Glomus. RNAcentral's name for it is "SSU rRNA". It matches the Rfam family "Eukaryotic small subunit ribosomal RNA", at positions 569 to 1025 of the family's 1831-position model. Lineage: Eukaryota; Fungi; Glomeromycota; Glomeromycetes; Glomerales; Glomeraceae. The record is from RNAcentral.